RNAcentral lists this long non-coding RNA (5522 nucleotides) under Felis catus (domestic cat). RNAcentral describes it as "neurite extension and migration factor (ENSFCAG00000003137.6)". Lineage: Eukaryota; Metazoa; Chordata; Mammalia; Carnivora; Felidae. The record is from RNAcentral.
GGGACCGUAGACAAGGUAGAGAGAGCAGGAUGGAAAGGGAAGGCUGUGGUGGGGAAGGGAGAUGGGGGUAGAACGCAGCCAGCAAGAACAACCGUUUUGGAGGAAACAAUAGCAGGGGCAAUAGCGAUGGUGGCAGCUGAGGCAGUCCCACUCUGGGCACCUUUCUGAAUGGGCAGAGGCAUCUCAGGGAGAAGAGGAGACCAGGCAGCGCCCGCCAAGGCUCUGAGAAAAGCAGCGGAGGGAGGGGAAGGAGGAGGAGGAGGAGGAGAAAGGGGAGGAGGAGGGGGGACGAGGCAGGGGGAGAACCCGGGAAGGAAAACCAGUAGCAUCAGCAUCAGCAUCAGCAGCCGCCACCGCCACACCAGUAGCAGUAGCAGUAGCGGCAGUAGCAGCAUUUAGCAAUAGCUUUAACGACUACAGCGACAGUAGCAGCCGCCCUCCUUCUCUCUCCCUCCCGCGGACCGCCGCAGCCACCGCACUGAGAGGGCUCCAGCGCCGCACGCGCAGCCGGCUGCUGAGAUAGUCCCGGCCGGAGCGAGCGGUGGUACACCCGAAACACAGACCCCGGGAGCAGCCCAUAGUCACUGAGGCGCUGAGUUUCAGGGCCAGAGCCUGACAGCUCUGACUCCAUCUAGCACCGCGGCGGCGGCGGCGGCGGUGGCGCCUGAGGGACACAGGCGCGUUCACCUGGCGGGCCUGGCGCAUGGAGCUGAGGCAGAGGCGGCGGCGGCGGCGGCAGCAGUAGCAGCGGCGGCGGCGACGGCGGCGGCUAGAGCAGCUGCGGCGACAGCGACAGCCCUGCCUUGACUGCGACCGCGCUAGUUCCAGCGCCCGCUGCCUGAGCCCGCCAGCGACUUGCGCCUCUUCAGGCGGCCUGUGAGGGCCAGGAUUUUAUCUAAGGAAGUACAAAGGCCACCAGGCCUUUUCCAGGUUGGACAGCAUUUGGACUUGGAAUGAAAAAAUAAGAGGUUACAUUCAUGGAUAACCAACAAGAUAAGGCUGUUGUUGCCUCAGCCAAUGGAGAAAACACUCUGAUUAAUGGGGUCAAAGAAAAUGAUUCAGAGGACCAAGAUGUGGCAAUGAAGUCAUUUGCAGCUCUAGAAGCUGCUGCACCAAUCCAGCCUAUACCAGUGGUUCAAAAAGAGACCCUAAUGUAUCCCAGGGGUCUCCUGCCUCUGCCUUCUAAGAAACCCUGUAUGCAGAGCCCCCCAUCUCCUUUGGGCCUAAUUGAAGCACCUGAGCAUGCUGCUAAUAGUGCUUCUGUGAAUGCCAUCUCCCUUACAUCUGGUGUUACAAAAGGCCUGCAUACAUGGUCACUGCCCAGUGAAUGUGAGAAAGCUCCAUUUGCCAUAAUGGAGCCUGCAGGCAUGUCAGCUCUGAAUGGGGACUGCCUCAUGCAGCCAAGUCGGACUUGUUUGGGCUGCUUCAUGGAAUCAAAGGAUGCAGUGGAUCCUGAGCCAGGGAUCAGUCUGAAAGUUGGUGAUCUAAAUAAGGAUUAUGAAACCUGUGCAGUCUCUGAUAUAGGGAUUCAGUGUAUUAAUGCUGGAGAAAGCAUGAAAUAUGGAGAGCAGCUGCUUUCAGACCAGCUCCUAGGCUUCCCCCUGCACAAAUCAAGGGCAGGGGAAAAACGAGAAGCUGAGAAAUCUGACAUUGACUUGGAGGAUCCAGCUCAGAAAAGUUAUUAUGAGGCAUUACUGUUAGACAAGUGUAAUACAGAAGAGGCUUUGCUGGCAAAUUCCAAUCAAGAUUGGGGUUACUUUGAGACUUUCAUUAGUGAGAGUAAGAUUGAACUGCUUGACCUCUGUUCCAAAAAUGAGCUGUCCGUCAACUUAUUCUCGGAAGAAGAUGUGGAUAACUACAUGUUUGAUGAUGAUGAGUCAACACUGGGCAGUGAUGUCUGUUCCUUGAAAAUUCGAUAUGAGUCCUUCCAGGACAAUGUUCGAGACAAGACCACCCUUCUAAUGCAGGAGGAUGCCCAAUUCAACUUUUUUCCCAGUGUCUUUACUACUUGCCCCAAACGGGAGUCUAAGAGUGGGGUUUUGAAGCAGAACAGCGAUCUUUCCCAAUUCAAGGUUCCUGAUGUGAACAUCAUCUGGGGGGAGGAGGAUAAAAACUUGGACAAGAAGAAAGGCAAAGAAGAGGGACAGGAAGACAAGGGUGUAGAGAAAAAAGAUGAAAAGGAUAAUGGAGAAAAAUUUGCCUUAAAUAAACCAUGCAGUGGGACUGAAGUGGAGCAAUUUAAGAAUCCAAAGCAGGGUCAUCUUGCUAAUUCCUUGGAGGCAUCAGGGAAUUUCAGUGAUGACAGUUCCUUCAUUGAGGUCUCUUAUGAUGCCAUGGGGGAGAUCAAGGACUGUAGCCGCUAUAUGGCUCGGGACACUAAUUCUGGCAACUCCUCCUCCCAGCAGAACUAUGGUCUACGAGCCAAGAGAAAAGUCAGGUACAGUGAAGAUUAUCUAUAUGACGUUGACUCACUAGAGGGUGAAAAAGUAAAUGAGAGGAAGGAAUGGUUGCCAGGUGGUUCCAAAGAGGAAGAUGAUGAUGAAUGGUGUCCCAAAAAGAGAAGAAAAGUAACCCGUAAGGAGCCCCCUGUUAUUAUCAAAUAUAUCAUCAUCAAUCGCUUUAAAGGUGAGAAGAACAUGCUGGUGAAGUUGGGUAGGGUAGAUUCCAGUGAGACAACAGUGAAUUUGAGUGAAAAUCAGCUCAACAAAUAUGCCAAGCUUGCCCCCUUGAAGGGCUUCUGGCAAAAGAAGAAAAAACAGAGAAAUAGCAACAUUGACUCCAACAAGACACCCUUAUGCCAAAAACAAAACUUUGAACCAGGUAGCUUUGAGGUGUCAUUCCUGCCACCUGCUCGCAAACGAAAAUCUAAACUUGGCAACAGGCACAGGAUUCAAAGAAUCCCAUCUGUGGAAACUUCAGCAAGUGGUAAGCAAAUUUCAUUCUGCAGUGAUCAGAGGCAAGCUUGUACUCGUAAAGAAGAUGGAUCCAUGAAAGGUACACUAAAGUCAGCACCUCUGGCUGUCCCCAGCUGUGCAAAUGGAUCACAUCUAAAUGACAUUACAGGCCCUGACUCAGUGAAAGUCAAAGCCCAAGAUGCAGGAUUUAAGGGGCCAGAGAGGAAAGUGCUCAACAAAAUCAAAUUUAAAAGUGAAGCCAGGUUAAAAUCCAAGAAAAUCAAAGCUGGUCAAGAAAGCAAGUCAGUUGUUCAAAUGAGCCCUCUUUUGGAAGAUCAAUCAUCUACACCUAAUUUAAAGAAUGAAGCUAUUCCUGGGACUUCAAACAGUUCUCAUCUAUCUGAAUUUCAUGAGGCAAAGGUUGCCAAGAAUUCUACUUUCUUACCAACCACCUGCUCUUCUGAAAUGCCUCUAUCAUCUGCUAAUGUUGCCACCAGUAUACCCGUUAUCCCUGGAGGGUAUCUGCAGACAUUGUUAGAUGCUUCUGACUUGUCAAAUAAUACUGGUAUAUCAUACUUUGCUCACCAUUCUCCAGAGCAAAAUGAAAGCAGCCUCACUCAAACAGAAAAAUCAUUUGUGCCUCUUCAGCCUGCCCAGGACUGUGUGCUUUCCUCACCCUCUGAGUCUGAGCUACAGCAGUCAUCCCAAAACUUCAAAAUGGAAUCAAACAACUAUGGAAAUGUGUGGCCCAACAAACCUACUUCUGGCCCCCAGGAAUUCAUGGCUGAAGUCUCAAGGGAGAUAGCUCCAACACAAUCUAAUGAAUUUGGAGUCUCCCAAGUAGUCUCCAUGGAAAAUAACCUCACAUCUACAACAUACAAUCGAAUCUGCCUCAGUAGUGGUGGCAGUAAUUGCAACAAGGUCCUAUAUGCCUCUGUACAAGACACUCAGCUCCCAUCUGAUGACUCUUAUCAAUUAUGUCACUUUAAUAAUGGAGAGAUAUGCUUUCCUUUCCAGCAGGGCCCAGCCAAUAUGGAUGAUGAUCGGCUCUUUAGCUUUGAUUCAAUGGCCCAACUCUCUGUCAACUCAAGCAAUUAUUGUUCCUUAAGCUUGAAGUCCUGUGAAAAGGAUGGUGAUGAUGAUAUUACUGAUGACUUCCUGGCCCAUUGCAGCCCCAAGCUGGUUAUCCAGCAGAGCAUUGAUGAGAUAACACCAUUAAAGGAGUCCACUGACCUCCUGGAUAUCUCCAACUUCACUCCUGACAAAUUCCGCCACUCUUCUCUCUCAGAAGUGUCCCCACCUGACACCCCCAGCCUUUCCCCUCAAAUUACCAGAUGUGAGAGUAUUAAGACACUAGGAACACUGAAGGGGUUUCAAGAGGGUGUCCCAGGACCAUUGGGCAACAUGGAGAAAAUCAAGUGGGACUGCAGUACCCUUUCACGGCAGGUCCAAGUGGAUGAUGGAUUUACUUUAAAUAACCAUCAGUUUCAGUUCCAUAUGUUCAAUGAUGAGGAUUCUGUCAGUCUUCUCCAAAAAACCCCUUGCUUAUCAGCAUUUAAUGAUCCAUCUGGUCAAAUGAGUACUAACAACAAAGUGUCAAAAUCAAGAAAGAAAAGUUCACCCAGCAAGAGUGGGGCUCUGAACCAAAGCUCUUCUCAGAAAAACACCAGGAAAAAAUCUCUCAAAUCCAACAACAAAGGAAUUGAAAAGCCACCUGGAAAAACCUCCCGCCAGGCCCCUAAGUCAACAAAGAAAGGGAAAUACAUGGCUGCAAUCAAUGGGGAGAAAAUGCAAGUUGGCAUUGGCCGUGGAGGAGGCCAAAUCAACAACAUAUCCUCCACAGGAAAGACAUUGACCGAAUGUAUCCAACACGGUGGCCCUGUGGCCUCUAUGAAGAUGCCAACUCAAAAGGGACUUUCUGGAGAUUGGGCUCUGGGGAAGGAGAGUAACCCAGGAUGGAGCGACAUGAACAUGAGCACGAACACCAAUAGCCUCCUUGAUGAUGACCAACGGGAAUUUCAAGAGCCUUCCUAUAUCUUGUCUAACAUUGCCUCUGGUAUGGCAGAUGUGCAGAGGUUCAUGAUGGCCUCCAUAGAGCCCCUUUGGGAACCCAUGGAACACCAUGGAGACCCCAACAUAUUCUACUCCCCUGAGUCCAAUAGUCUAAAAUUAAAAACCCUUAAAAUAUUGGCUGGGACACCACAGGAAUCUAAGAAAAAGGUCAACAGUGGGUCCCCAGGAGGCACUAAGAAUCACAGGUCCAUCAAGGGUGUGAGUAAAAGCAAUGGGAAAGCAACAAUAGGUGAUCCUGGUCGUGCAAACAUGCAUGGUUAUGAGGACUCUCGCUCUGCCUUCUUUGAUAAAAAGUGUAAUAACCUGAGCACUUUAGGCAAUAAUGGACCGACACACAAAAAGUUAUAUCGUCACAAAUCCAGCUCCAAGGCCCUGAGAGAUGAGAAGUGUAAGGGAAAGUGCGUGGAGCGAGAACAGGUCCACAAGGAUGAGGCUGGGACAGCUUCUUUUGAAAAACUGAGGGAUUCCGACUACAAUCUCCUAAAAGCAGAAACAGCAUUUUGGGUUUUACCUGUGUUUGAAGAAGAAACUCACAUUUUCCAGAAAGACAUUUGA